GUAGGUGAACCUGCGGAAGGAUCAUUGGAAGAGUGGGGAGAGAGAUGAGGGGAGAGUUGGAAUGGGGGAGAAUACAACAUACAAUAAAUUACAACUACAUAUACAACUGCUGACAAUGGAUCUCUGGGCUCUU
Molecule: unclassified non-coding RNA, 133 nt
Filed under: rhizosphere metagenome
Description: partial ribosomal RNA internal transcribed spacer region
Source: RNAcentral